GCCAGGUGUGGUGGGGAACACCUGUAAUCCCAGCUAUUUGGGAGGCUGAGGCAGGAGAAUCACUUAAACCCAGGAGGUGGAGGUUGCAGUGAGUUGAGACUGUAGCACUGCACUCCAGCCUGGGUAUCAGAGUGAGACCCUGUCUCAA
Unclassified non-coding RNA from Callithrix jacchus (white-tufted-ear marmoset), 148 nucleotides. It matches the Rfam family "Metazoan signal recognition particle RNA". From Rfam's summary of the family: The signal recognition particle (SRP) is a universally conserved ribonucleoprotein. The record is from Ensembl. NCBI's taxonomy places the organism in Eukaryota, Metazoa, Chordata, Mammalia, Primates, Cebidae.